GAACUCACUAAUAUGACAUAGUAUAUCCUUCCCUGCAAACAAAUUCCUUGCUGAUAACGUGCUUUUUAGCCUUGGUGCCUCAUCAUCAACUGAUUUCUUCUUUUCACUGCUUGAUUUGGUCAUUGCUUUGAUGAACUUAGCUUGGUAAUUUGGUGGUGUUGAUAAAUUUGGGUUAUGGUUUUCAAUAUCUUCACUGAAUUUAGAUCUAUCACUACAUGUAAAUGAACACUGACUUUGCUCUCUCAUCUUCAAUUUUGCAUCUCUUAGAUUCCCGCAGCCAAAAGAGCUCUUAGAUUUAUCAGCUGAGCGUGAAAGCUUUGAAGUUGGAGUUAUUCUAAAGAAAUCCUCAACUGUCUUUGGAUGGUUACAAUCAGGUCUACAGAACCAAGCCUCAUCAUCCAUGGAGUCAUCAUCUUCAGGGUUCAAGAAAUCAACCCAUUUAGGUGCAUUUAUAUUCUCAUACAACUUAUCCUCAACAGAUAUAGACUCUACCCUCUUCCAAUCUAUUUUUGCUGGUUCCAUUGUGAAGAGAAGAACUUUACGAGAAAGAACAGAAUACCCAGAAAUCUAAAGGGGAUUGCAGGAUUUAGUAAGAUGUUUUAGAGAGAGAAACAAGACCCUGAAACUGAGGGCAAGAUUUGCUACAGACUGUUCAAGUGUCAAAAUGUAACGGUUAGUAGACUAGUGGAAAGUAUCUGCAGAGAGGAGAAAGACUGACUGAACGUUGGUGGGUCUAAUUAAUUUUUGUGACCGUUGGGGAAUUUUCGUAAAUUACUAAUAAUUAGUAUUAGUUUUGUAGUUAGGUUUUUUUGAGCUUUUGGGUUGGUCGAGGUGGAAGAAGAGCUUUUCUUGGAUCUGGGCUGCAAGAGAUGGUUCAAUGCUGUAGGACAUAGCUGAGAAUAACUCAAUGGUUGAAAUCCAGCACGAAAUUUCACAAUAAUUUUUUUUUUUUUUUUAGAUUAAGAGAAAUGAUGGCUCUAAGAUUCAAAUCCGACCUUGCAAAUGGAUCCAAUUACCACUGAUUCAAUUGCUUGUUGGUUGUAUAUGCAACUGUCCUUAAUGCAUAUUGAAUUUAACCUUUUGUUUUUCACUAAAUCCUUUCAACUAAAAAUUUUGGAAUUGGCUUAGAAUCGUCUAGUAGGUGUGAAGAACAAAGAAAGAUUAGAGAAAUUAUGGCGUGGAAUGGCUCAAUGCAACACAGCCAAAAAGCUACAAGGUGGUCCAUAGCUUAGAGCUUCAAGAUAGGAUAAGGAUAUUUGAUAGGGAAAUAGUUUCAAGAAUUUCAACCAAAGCUGCUACAGUAAAUUCUUGCUCAUCGUUAAAGAACGUUUGAUAAACAUAACCUUAAUCCACUUUUCAAAAGUCAAUAAUCAAUGGUUUAAAAUUAUAAUUAUACCAAUGAAAGUUAGAACAUUCAACUAUCAGUUUUUACCCUUGU
RNAcentral lists this unclassified non-coding RNA (1438 nucleotides) under Hevea brasiliensis (rubber tree). The record is from RNAcentral. Lineage: Eukaryota; Viridiplantae; Streptophyta; Magnoliopsida; Malpighiales; Euphorbiaceae.